GCCGGGGCCGGGUGAGACAAUCCAUCGUCGUCGAUCCGCUUGUGUAGAGCGACGCGUGCACCUACUAACGCAUACAGGUGCCUGCGGAAGUGCUCGUUGCCACCCCCCGCCCAUCUGUUUCACGUUAGUGGCGUUUUUUUCUCUUGUGUCGCCCACGCGCUCUCUCACCUUUUGGGCCUUCCUCUGCGUGCAGCUGGCAAGCCUUCUUUGCCACGGCACGGAUACGCAUCUGGGCACCACUGGAAUCACCGCGUUGCCCCGUGUGUCGCGGCCGUUGUUGGCUGCGGUGCGGUUUCCGUCUCGUCCGCACGAUGAGCUUUGCAGGGAUCGACAAUUGGAUCGGCCCCUUGCCGGGGCUGCGGAGUACGCCCCCGCUUCAGAUAACCCUGCUGGGCGACACGGCGACAGCGACGAGCGCCGGCGACACCGUGCCUGCUCGGUCAACGACCUACGAGGCACAGUACGUAGAGUGCGCGCCGUACCAGAAAGGCACCAUGUGUAUACAGGACCCGGGCGGCGAAAGCAAAGGCGCCAUGGAGCUUGACACCGUGCCCCUCUCCCAGUUGUAUGCCACGGGGUAUCGUAUGUAUCGCAAAAAGCACCAGCCAGAUUCAAAGCAGAGCUUUACUCUGCCAACCUCCCCGCCAGACUUCGAUGGUGACGCACCGAUUGAUCCCCAGACGGUUGCGCGGCACGUGCGCAGCCUAGCCAACGCCUAUAAUAGUGUCACUCCGACCCCGCCACCAUUUCUCAUCUACGAGCAGGUAAUUCUCGACGCUCAAGACGCCCUCAAGAUGACGACAGAGGAGUCCAAUCAGAGUACCGUCCUGCGAAAUGACGAGGCGCGCAACUCGCCGGCCCUGCACACUGCGGAUAACUCGAUAGGCGAUCUCUUUGUCAACUCCUCCACUUUCGGCUCGCAGCUGCAAUCCGACGCGCUGAUGAUGUCGGUGAGCCUGCUGAAUGGUAUGCAGGCGCACGUGCGCUCACUCCAGCUUCUGUAUCAGCGUCUCUUAUCCGAUGCAAACCUUUCCCGUGCGCUGGCGCCGUCGGUUGUGAAAGAGCUACUCACUCAGCUCGACAUCUCCGUCAGGGAGGCGACGCCGCCGUCGGCGCAGGUGAUGGAGAGGUGCUCCAUUGCCGGUCUACUAGUUGGCCGCCGCCACCAGCUGGACGAGGUGCUGCGCUACGCCGACAUUCUGGAGCACCUCACUAUCACCUCAGCCAGCAUCGUCCCGGUGGCGGUCCCGCACGCGCGCGAGAUUGUGCAAUCCUUCUCACUUCAUGCAGCGGACAUCUGCCCCAUCACCUCCCCGAUCGACUGCUUUCAAGACGAGCCCAUCAAGAUGAAGAUGGUGCUGGGCGAGGGAACAGGGGUGCAGAGGUUUUGUGUGAGCCCCAACCAACAGUACCUUGCCACGGUCGGCUCGCAAAAGGUAAUGAUGCUAAACCUCUCGACCGGCUCCUUACACGCUGAGCGGGAGCUGCCAGAGGUGGUGAGCGGCUGCUGGAAUGCAACGUUCUCCGAAGACUCCACGCACCUCAUCUGCACCGAUGCGAGUGGGCUGCGCCACGCCGUUCUUACGACGGACCUUGCAACGAAGGAGGAUCGCACGACGGAUUGCGUGUCGCUGGUGACAGACUACCACAAAGGCGUGCUGGAGACGACGCCGUCGCCGCUGCUGCCAUCCGGCUCCGCUGCGUCGCUGCACAUGCUAGAAGCGAACGCCAAGGCUUACACGGCCUCCUUCAGCCGCCCCUUCCCCGACUCCGUUGACUGCUUCUCCCUCUGCGCGCACGUCUACAACGACUGCGCUGGCACGCUUAUUCACAUCGUUCCUGACACUGGGGAGUCCCUCUCUGUGGAGGUGAGCGGCAACUUGCUGAGGCUGCGACAGGGCUCCAGUGUGUGCCGCGGUGUGCUGCCCUCCACAAGUCAGUGGUACUUCCUACACGCGCAUUGGUGCAGAGGCGUGUGGGCCGUCAGCGUCAACUUCUCCAUUGUCGAGCUGAGUGGGCCGCACUACACGCAGUCGCAGACAAUGAAGAUCAAAAUGGUCGAGUGCCUGCGCUGCACCGGCCACUUCGGGUCCAUGGCGCUGUGGAGCGGCUUGAACGGCCCGGCAACGGUGCGCAGGUUCUUCCAGGAAAGACUCGUCGACAGCUCCGUGUCGCCGCUAUUUGUGCUCCCCAUGGACGAAGGAACAGGAAUGUGGCUGAAGGAGACGGUGGGGCGCCAAUGCUUGUCUCUGAAUACCAAGUCAUUCACGUGGGACUCUUCCGUGGUGGUGCCGGUCGCCACGACGAACCUCUCUGCGGUGCCGCUGGACGACAGGGCUCUCCUGUCCGGCCGGGUGCUGAAGAGCGCGUACCGUCUUUUUGUGAUGCUGCCACCGGCGGAGAAAGGCUCCGACGAUCUUGUGGCUGAGGUGGACCGCGAGAGCAACCGCAUAGUGCGUGUGUAUCAGUGCCCACGCUCGUGCAGCGAGAACGCGUACGCCAUACUUGGCGACGAGUCUGAGCUACUUGUCUAUCAGCAGCGCUUUUCCACCUUCAGCUCUGUUCGCCUCUUCACCCGCCGCCGAAUGGAGAAGGAGCUAGCGUUGUGCAACCCAAGCGAGGCGUGCCCGUGCGUCGGCUCAGCGCCAUGGCUGUUGCAGGAGAUCUACCGCCGCAUCUACACGGAGAGCUACGAACUGGAGCGCGUCCUUCCGGAGAACUCGCCGCUGUCCUUCUGCACCCUUAGCUCGCUGGCGCAGGCACUGCGGCUCGUAAAGUCGUCCACGCCGCCCCUGAAGGUGCUAGCGUUCAUGUCGCUGACACUGGUACACUUCCGCCGUCUUGCUACGCUCAAUGACACUCGCAUUUCCGACAUUGCCGCAUCGCUGAAGGCGUCGUGCAGCACUAUCAUGGAGCUUUUCACGGAAAAAGCAUUCUUGGAGGUGACGCUCAAGCUCUACCGUGUAGCGACCGCGUGGUCUCUCACUGUCGAAGACCAGGCAGAGAUGCUUCUGCACAUGGACUCCGGCGAGCAAGCUAGCUUACAGUGGAGCUACUUUUCGCGAGAGCGUGUCCACACUGUCAUUCGCCACAUUGUACAGCACCGCCCAGAAUACAUCGUGUCGGCCGCGAGGAAUCUCUUGCACCAGUGUGAACGGGAGGCCGUCAGCGAUCCUGGUGAGCCGAAGUCGGCGACGCACCUCAUGACGUCCUUUGUGCUUGCCGUCAUGACCACUCUGCACACGCACGCCGCGGGCAAAUCGCAGGCGUACGCCAGUCAGCUUCUAGAGCUGUUUGUCGACUACAUGUUUCGCUGCAAGUCUCUCUUCAUCCCUGCGCGGGUCGACGAGCAGCCGAACUCAGUCCUUCUCACCGGUGUGCUGCCGCUCUUGGUGACUGUGGCGAACGUGUGCCCGGCAGCCGUCUCUGCUGUAACACAGGAGCAUCUGCUGGAGCUGUGUGACCGUCUGCGGGCGGUUCAGACGAGUCCAGAGCAGGUGGUCGGCUUUUCUACCCGCGAGGCGUACGACAUGUACGUGCCAAACAAGGAAGACAAUGGCAUCUGGCGUCUGUGCCUCGACUUUUCCACCGCACGAAGCGUGUCUCUCAUCAAGGAGGCCAGCAGCCCACCAGUGUUUGUGGUGCAGUCGGACGCGCAGAACGGCAAACCUGACAACACGGUGAUGGACGAGUCGAGCUCCUUCAAGAAGCUGGACGGCGGCGUGCUCCACAUUCACGGUAGAGGAGAAAACAGCUUCACGGCCAUCGCGCAGUACGAAUUUUUGCUUGACGUCUCCCUGGCCUCCGUGAUGCGAGAGGCAAUCUUGCGAGUGCUGCUGGCCGCCGCAGCGGAGCUGAUGCAGAAGCCACCGACGUCCUCCGAGAUCGUCAUUGCCCCGCUGUUUCGCUACGGACUUACCACGAGUGUACUGACCGCCCACAACGUCCAUACACAUGGUGUGCCACACGAAAACAUCUUCGACUUUCCGCUGCGUGUUCUGGAGGACAGGGACGAGGGAAAGGAGUUUGUCGAUGAGGUGAGUAAGGCGAUGCGAGGUUCCAUUUUGCCAUCGAUGCGGCCCGCCAUCCGAGCGCUGCUGUCCAUUCUUCUGCACUGCGGGCUGACCCGCGGACAAGCAGAGGACGAACUGAAGCUACGAUGGUUCAGCGGGGAGUGGAGCACGAAGCUGCAGGGCACCACGAAGACGCAAACGAUCGUCUUCCUCACAUCGCUAGCGCGCUGGAUGAUGGAGUGCGUUUUCUUCGAAGGCGACGGCGCGACACCAAUGUGUGGCCGCCGCACCUCAGUUCGGCUCGAGAACUCCCUGAACGGCUCGAGGUCACUGUCAGAGCGGCGGGGAUCGACGAGCUCGCGCCGCAGCGUCGUGAAGCUGUCCUCGCAGAACGACUCGCUAGAGCAGGUGCGCGUGUUGCUGGCGAAGGGGAUUACCCCAUUAAUGAUUCAAGAGGACUUGAUCAGCCGCGCACGCGCGGCGCAGAACAUCGAAAAGGGGCUCCGGUUGCUGUCGCGUCUGCUGCAGAUCGACCCGGCCAACCUCACAGAGGACUUUCUCACGAGAGCGCUGCGCGUGCUGUAUGCCUUCACGUGCACUGACAACUGCCAGCACUUCACGGAAGUGUUGUGCGGCGCCGGGGUCGAUGCGGAGACGGCUGUCCGUCGUGCCUUUCACGGCGCACUGCACAGCUUCUUUGCGGUACUCAAGAGCUCCUCGAGCACGGUUGGGUACCGGGCUGCCUUGACACAGAAGGCCUUCCAAGGGCGCGCGCUCAUGCUGUUCCACGCCAUUUUGUGUCUCCCAUGGGAUGAGGCAGACUGCGAAGAGUUCAAGCGGAGCUUCGAGACGGAUAACGACAUUCUGAAGUUCUUGGAGAGCCAGAUGGGCUCGCCCACGGCGCUGGCAGCGCUGACAUCGCCGUGGCGCCUGCGGCACGAGGCAUCUCGUCCUGCUGAGGACGUGACGGCGGAUCAGGAGCAGGCAGUGCGGACGGAGCUCCUUGGCGCGGCUGAUUUUACCUCCCUCAGCCGCGUCUUUCCGAACGACUUUUCUGUUGUCAUUCCGACCAUUCAAACGGCUCGGUCGCAGUUCGGCGUCGUGAUGGAGAAGGGCUCUGGCGCCGCCGUGCUGGUGCGCGCUGACGAGGGGUGGCAGCUUAACUGGAAAGAGGGGGUCCCGCGGGUUUACUACUACGAGGUAAAGAUUAACUCUCCCAUCAACAAGUUUGACGUGGGUGUGCAGCUGCCGCGCACGGAGCUCGCCGUCCGCGGCGAGGACCUGUUUCUCUCGUACAGUAGUCUUGGGGACGUUCACUGGGGCGAGCAGGCGCAGCUGCCGCCUUUCACAGAGGGUGACACCGUCGGUUGCGGUAUCGUGGCCACUUCACGUCUUCUAUUCUACACGCUCAACGGCCGCUUUCUAUCCUUUGCGGGGCGCGUCAACGUGCCCACGAACGCCAACGCGGACAGCGCGCUGCUGUACCCCGUCAUCUCCUUCGAUGAUCGAAGCAUGGUGCGCGUCGUAGUGAACUUCGGAAUCGUUCCUUUCGCGUAUGACUACCGCCAGCUGCACCCGGCGCUGACAAUCGAGAAAGGCCCGACUUGGUACCGCAUCACCUCGACGGCGGAGAUGGUGCUGCACUACCUCACGGCUCGUGUGUGCGCUGUGCAGGAGUCGAAGAGCCACAGCGCCCGUGGCGCGCUGACGCAGGUGUGUGAUGUGGUAUGUCGCCAUGUGAACAGCGUCACUUCAUCACUCAUGAAUAUUGGCAUUGGCGGCUCCUCGAAUAGCAACUCGACGACGCGCGUGCAGCAGGCUGUAGCGCUGACCGUCGCCGAAUACUCCAUCAUGGUGCUCAUUUCCACCAUUCGACACAUCGCCACGCACGGUAUUCUGCUGAGCGAGCACAUCAGUAACAUGGUGUUCGACGCCGUCUCUAUUCUUAUGCUGCUACCCCUGCAUUCUGUCCAGAUCGCGACGAUUGGAUUACUGCCGGACGUCAUUGUGCACGUCAAAGAGGUCCCCGACGGCAAGGCGGCGGGGAAUUUGGUGUCUACCCUGUUUGAGAACGCUAACUGCGCCACCGAUAGCGAGGACGUAAUCCCGUUCGUACCGAUGUGGUGCGAGUGCGACGCAAGUGCGAUGGCGAUCGUGAACGUGCAGAACGCGCACAUGCUGCAGGAUGCGCAGCGCAGCAUUGUGCUGGGCAACGUGCUGCCCCGCACAGGAAUGGUGUCCUUCUCUGUCAAGGUGGUGAGGCGUAACAUGUCGAAGGGGCACUCGCUGAAAGGCGGUUACUUUAUCGGAGUGUCCGUGGCGGGGCUGAGCCCGCUGACGCCGACGAGCAACUCGCAGAGCUGGAAGGCCGUGAACCCUCCUAUUGUGUGGGCCAUCCAGGACACCUCGCCGCAGCUGCCGCAUGCCACGAACCCCACCGUCAAGCUCAACAACUUCCAGCGCACCUUCGGCAACGCCGACGUCAUUCGAGUUGUGGUAGACCGCGACAAGCGGUGCAUCGACUUCUACCGCGAGGGCGAGUUCCUGAAGACGCUGUUCAGCAACAUUCCAGAGGACAUUGAUCUGGUGCCGUUUGUGCAGCUUUACAAUGACGACGCCGCCGCCGCGAUUAGCGCCGGUACCAUGACAGCCCCAAUCACCGGGCCAAUGCUGCUCGGCGCGGCUUCGGCCGAUGUGCUGCGCUCUAUGCUCACACUCGACCCUUUCCAGUGCCUUGUCGCGCAGCGUCUGUGCGAGGAGCUUAGUUUCCAGCGGUUCCCUAAGGUGACGCUGCUGAUCUUCAAAAGCGUGCCGGACCCGCGUCUGCUGCAACUACGUAGCUCGGUGGGCGAGGAAGUGACGGUGACGGUGUCGCGGCUGAACGAUUUGCGCUGCAAGUUCACGCUCGGUGACAAGGCGAACUACGAGCAUCUCUACAACAUGCGCACACCGGCCAAGCCGCGGACGGUGUGUACCUUUGACAUUAUUUUGCCGACCUCGCGCCUGACGGGGCUGUCGCGCUGCAUCGACCACCUCAUCGCCGCAGCAGAGCGCAUGGUGGUGCCGCGCAUCACGGUGGAGGCUCUCUGCUGCACUGAGCAAGAUGAGCGCUGCAAGAUCGUGCUCGAGGAGAAGGAUCACUGGGACUUCCUUUUUCACGGGCUGCGCGUGGGCAGCUUCAUCACGGUGCUGCGUCGUCUGCCCUCCAUCACCGCCAUGCACGCGCCACCGAUCCCGCACGACUACACCUUCUCGGCGGCGCUCUCCAACCCAGGUUUUGUGUUGCCCUCGCAUUACUGCGGACGUCUCGCCACAGUGCCGACUGGGGCAAAAGGGGUCUCUACGCCGUUCAUCGCGAUUGCAGAGCCGGCCAUUCCCACGGGGGCGAAGGUCAGCAUCCGAUGUCAGCUGAUUCGCGGGAAUCAAGGCCAGAUCCUCGGCGGUGGGUACUACUUCGGUGUAUGCACGCCGAGCUUUCACUGGAAGCACAAGGACCUGAAUGCACACACCGGCGAGGUGUGGGCACUGCAUGACAUGGAUGACUCACCGUGGCGACUGCGCCACCUGCGCCCCGACGCCACGUUUCCGGUGGCCGCGGAGCCCCGCUGCAUCAUUGUCAGCGGCGACAUCAUUCGCCUUUAUAUUGACCGCACCGCGCGCGUCAUGCAUGCCUUUCGCACGCCUGUGAACGGGGACGAAGUACCGCUCGGACUCAUCUUUGACAACCUUCCGGCCGACGGCGCUCUCUACCCUUUUGUGAAUCUUUUCAAUACGGACGCGGUGGCCGUCUUCCUGCCUUCCAACAGCACCGCGCCGGCCAUUCGCCUGCCCUGCCAGAAGCUUCCGUACGCUCUGUGCACCGCGGACGAGCGUAAGGCGUGUGAUGGGUGCAAUUCGAACCUCGGAGAUGCGAGGGUGUCCGGCCGCUGGUUCAAGUGCAACGAGUGCGCUGACUACACGCUGUGCUCUAGCUGCUUCUUGACUUGCGUGCAUUCGAACCACAGCUUUACCAUGAUGCAUGGCUCGCCGAUCGCCUACUCGACCACGACUCCGGCCACGGUCGAGCGCGGCAUGGAGGUGACGAUACCAGCCACGUCGGUCAUGUACUUGCGCAGCAGCGGUUGCCGCAUGCACGAGGCGAAGAUGAACUGUGUCGCUGAGGCGGUGGAGGACAACGCACUUUGUGCCUGGGGUCUGGUCAGCCAAGACGGCUCUGAGCCGUUCUCUGUAGUGAUCGACACUGUCGAUGGAAGCCCUCUCUCGCCGGAUGCGCCGGUGUUGGUGGGGCUUGGCCCGGCGCAGGAGAUUGUCCAGUCGACGCGCGACAAGCUGCGCGACAAGUGUCUGGCGAACAUUCCUACCAUCGCGACGUACUGCAGCGACCCGUCGCUGCGGCAGCCGCUGGAGAACCGCAGCAGAGACCCGUACGGCUUCAAGCGAGGCUCGCGCAUCACUCUCAAGUACGACGCCGCAGCAGGCAGAAUCACCAUCUCGCGCGACUGGGUCGUCGUUGGCACGAAGUCUGUGGCGCUGAAAGACAGCGAGAACGCCGUGCAGCCGAUUGGCUGCUUUGUGUUGUUGGGCAAGAAGGGUACCACCGUCUCUGUCUUCCCGGAGCGUGCGUGCACGUUGACGACAACGGUGGAAGAAGUCACCGGAAACAUUCUGAAGACGGUGGGCCGCGACGGCAGCGUCUGGUUUGUGACGCGCGAGAACUGUCGCCUGCCGUUGACGCCGUGCCGCGGCCUGUUUCAGAAGAGCAGCCUGGGGUACAUCUUGAUGGAUCACCGUCUCGUCCAGUGCCGCCGGCAAAGCUGGGACAACCGCCUUAUCCGGGUCCAGGUGCUGGAGACAGAGGAGGUAGUGUCGGUGCCACUGCACCAUUACCUCAUCAACGAGAGCAGCGCCAUAUCCGAGGAGUGGUUUCUCUGCCGCCGUGACCGCGACGAGGGCGCAACGGUGGAGGAAGGCUUCGUCAUGUCGCGCCUUCUCCUCAUCCUCUCCUGCCUAUGCGAGAACGAAUCCCUUUCCCACCUGGUCUCGCUCCACCAGGAGCGGCUGCUCAGCAUGACGAAGCGCUUAGCCACAGUCAACAUCGAGAACGACGCACCAGUCGACUCCCUGGACGAGAUUCGGGCAUCCGUCGCCUCCACAGCAAACCGCCGGCGGUGGGCUCUAGAGAAGCGGCACAUUGCCCCGUUUGUUCCAGUCCUCAACACGGACGAGCGGAAGCGGCGCUUCCAGAACGGCACCCUCGUGCACACAGUCGACAGUGAUGACGUUUUCGAGGUGACGUUCCGACGUGGUGAGUCACUGACGGUGCGCAACACGCGUAGCGAGUUCGUGUCGAAGGUGUCAUACCGGAACUGCGUGCCGUUGAAGCAGUGUGGUGGGCGGGCCUGGUACACUCGGCGGAACGGGCUUCCGUGCAGUCUCUACGAGCACACAGUGCGCCUCAGCAGCCCCGCCAAAGCCUCCGAGAGUGUGCCGCUGCAGGACGAGUGGCUGGGCGAGGUGGUCUUCGCACGCACUGCAAAGUCGCUCACGGUGUCGCUUUCACCACACGGCAUUGGCCGCGCUGACAUUGCGCAGGGCACGACCGAGGAGACGAGGUUGAUUGUUGUGUACGAGCACAAGAGGUACUCUCGAGUCGUGCGCCUCUUCAUGCGCCUCUAUAGCGCCGACCUGGAGUGCAAGCUGGAGCAGCUUGUGACCAGCAGUGGUGAAGGAUCGUUGACGCCGACGCGUGACUAUCAGGAUCUCGUCGACUUCCUCAACCGCGCUGCCGAGCCUGUGCACGACAGACCGGUGGCGCCGGGGCAGGAGAUGUACUUUGGCAUGGUCGGGUUUCUCGACGCGGAGGGGCUGCGGCUGAAAGGCGUGUUCCAUUGCCACCAAGGCAAGGGUGGCACCUUCACUCUCAACUCGUGCCGCAGAUUUGCACUGCUCUCGCCCGUGUCGGAGAAGUGGAUGGUGGAGCCGCUGCCGGACUGCCUCGAUGCCUCCAUUCCACCGGCCCCGCAUCGCAAUAUGCGGGAGUGCACCCACCGCCUCGUCGUGCUGCUGGCGCGCCACCUCUACCUUGUCACCUGCAGUCAGAUUGAGCGCCGGCCCGCCGACUUCCUCGACCAUAUUUUCUUCUUCACUAGCCACCCACUCGCAGAUACGCUCGUGCGCAAGGACGCUGGCACCCACCAGCUGAGUGUGAUGCUGAGCGAGGUGAACAUCCGCAUCACUGACCCGAGCGUGAAGCCGUGGGACGCCAUCUCACUAGCCCGUCUCGCCACCAACAGCCUCCUGCUCCGCCCCGAGGCAAUCCACAACGUGCGUGAGCACUUGCUGUGGGACUGCCUGCAUGGCGUAGUGACGGCGGCUCACCGUUGCGGCCGCUACCACCGCCACGAGGUGCUUCGAAGUAUCACCGCCUUUGUGCAGACGAGACUGCAGCACACCAGCAUCUACCAACAGCUCUUCUCUACGCUGUUUUCGUAUGUGGAGCGGUGGGUGGUGGCGCUGCCAGAGGACAGAGAGAUGAAAAAGGACGUGGCGGCAGGCAUCGACCUCCUGCUCGCGCUCGGCAGUCCGCUGGACGAGCAGAUGCGCAAGAUUCCGGUAGCUCCCCUGCACUGCCUCAUCGAUUUGUGGCGGUCUGUGACAGCCGAGGUGGCGCUGCCGCGCGUGGUAGAUGAGCUGCACCUGGCGAUCGAUCCCGAGAGCCCUCCGGUAGGCACGCUCUGCACCUUUGGCGACUACGUCCGACAAGAACUAAAGGUUGGCAAGGUGACAAGCACGUGCGGCACGGCUGGAAAAGGGCACUACUACUACGAGGUGACGCUGCCGGAUCGAAUCACGUCCGCCUACGCGAUCGGAUGGGGAACGGCGGUGCAUAAUGAGGUGCCAGGGCAGCACGUCGGGAGUGACCGCAACAGUUUCGCGUACAAUGGCACCGACAUCAACACACGCGAUGGAAAGGAGGAGUACAAGAUCCCCACGGAGAGCAUCCCCGGCGCCGUUGUGGGGUGCCUGCUCAACAUGGAAGAGCGAACGGCGGCGUGGUCUCUGAACGGGGUGGUGGGACACUUCAUCUCGAUUCCCAUUAGCUUCACGAGCAAUACGCCGCUCUUCGCCUUCGCGUCGAUCGGCACGUGCAGCGGCAUGAAGGUGCGACUGCGCGCAAACGAGUUUGAGUACGCACCAGACGGCUACACCGACCUCUCCGGCCGUUUUGCGCGUCCGGUCGUGGACAGCUACAAUCGCGACCAGCGCAGCUUGAUGGACCGUCAACCCUAUGCAUUCUACCUACACCUUGCGUCCUUUCUCUCCGACGUGGAGGACUACCUCGACGAUCAGGCGGCGCAGAACCAAACCGCCUCUCUGUCGCAACUGCCCGAGGACCCAUACAAGCUAUUCGUGCACGCCUACCCGCUGCUGCAGUCGUACCCCCCGUCCGCGCUGCAGAAGUUUGCGCAGGUGAUCGCGGUGACAGAAAGCUGCAUGGCCACAGCGAAUAACUUCGUUGACCUCGACGAGGAGACUGUCACGGGGACGCUUUCACAGGCGUUCCUGUCGAUGAAGGGGCUCGUCCGCCGUUCCUUUCGCCAGCGCCUGCUGGUGAACGUGGCCCCGCUUGAGGCGGUGAGCACGGUCCCGACAAUCUUUGUGCGCGUGACGGAUCUGUACUCUACUUUGCCGCGCACCACGGAGAGUGCGCUGCGGCACUCCAUCCUCGCGCAGCUGUACCGGCAAAUCGGGUUCUUGACAGAGGAGCAGUGGGCGGUGUCCCCGCUUUUCAAGGUGAACCUGCACAUUAGCGGCUCUGGGCACGCCCCGGUUGACAUGGGCGGUCCGUACCGGCAGCUGUGGACCUUCCUGGCAUUUGAGCUGAUGCAGCACCCUGACAAGUGCUACCCCAACUCCGACUUCCACCGUAACCCACUGUUUGUGUUUGUGAACAACUCGCAGCGCAUUUCCCUCGUGCCGGACAGUCAGGCGAACUCCAUCUACGAUCUGAACCUCUUUACCUUCUUUGGAAAGAUCAUGGGACACUCGGCGCGCGCCAAGACACCGCUCGACAUCGACUUUUCGCCGUUUUUCUGGAAGUUCCUCGUUGACGACGAGCUGACGAUCAAGGACUUUUACACCCACGUUGACAGUGUCGUGGAGGCCACCGUGAGGGAUGACAACUUCCUCCUGAGCGGCGUCGCGGACGAGCUGAUCCCUGGCUUUGCGGAGAGCGUCGAGUGGCUGGACAGCGACGACAACGACGAGGUGGCCGCGCAGCAGCGGCGCACCAUUGCCGAGCGGUGCCUCGUGCACUCGAUGGAUGAGCAGCUUAGCGCCAUCCGCAGCGGCCUCUGGAAAACCCUUUCGCGCCGCGUUGUGCGAUGCUUGUCAUGGAGGGAUCUAGAACAUUUGGUGUGCGGCGAGAGCAACCUCACGCUGCAGGAUUUGCAACGGUACAUCCGCGUGCAGCUGACGGGGAGCCGCGAGGCGCACUUCUGGCAAAUCGUUGAGCAGCUCUCGAUGGAGCAGAGAGCCUCACUGAUCUGCUUCGCCUCUGGACAGCGCCGACUGCCACUGAUCCGACCCAUCACAGUGGCUGAGAACAACGAAAGCGUCGACUACCUUCCCCGCGCUCAGGCGUGCGGGUCACUGAUCACCAUUCCGCAGUACACCUCACUGGAAAUGUUCAAGGAAAAGCUCCUUAUGGCGCUUCAGCACCAGAUGGAGAUGGAGCUGGCGUGAUCCUUCUCGUGCCUGUACACCGAUGCGUUUUUCUAUGUUUACGUAUCUGCGAGGCACUGCCGCCGCUCAGUUGUCCUGGCGUCAUCGCUUCUCUUUUUAUCCCCAACACCCUUCACGAACGGCGCGCUGCUGCUGAGGCGCGGGCCUCGCUCUUCUUUUCUCGUGCCCUUUCGGUGCUCUUCCCAAGGUGCGCUUGCUUCCGUUUUUAUGUUCUGUGCUCAUCUGGGUGAGAGAGGCGGCAUGGGGAUCCCAAAAGAUGGCAAGUGACGCACUCGCCUCGAACGCUGUAACCCAACCUGUGCUCGUGAUGUACAUGCAUGCAUGUGCUGCUGCACGCGUGCGUGCACAUCAGCAAGGCAAAAGAUCAGAGCUUGCGCCACUGGCCGCGUGCCUUUGAAAGCCUCUUUUUCAUUUGUGAUUUCUUGUGCUCUUCCCUCAUGCGUUGUCUUCCUGUGUGCUCUCUGAUGUUCUAUACCUUUCACCGCAGAGCCGGUGGUGCUCACUCGCACUCUUAUCUCUGCACUGCUUUAUUUUCUUGCUGGGCUCCAUUCAUGGCCUGGCAGCAUACGUGUAUCUAGGCCUCUCUCUUUUCCGCGGUAGGCUUCUUCACCUUGGACGGGCUUUUCCCGGGCCUCCUUCCGCGCCCCCACCCCGUCCCUCAUGAUCCGCGCCUGUUUUUUGUUUUUAUUUGCUCCCUUUCCAUGUUGCUUGUGCACUUGUGCGCUACUGCGCCAGUGAGGGGGAGAGUGGAAGUCAUACCCAGUUGAGGCGCUCGCACAUGUCGAUGGACCGGCGCCCAAGUGCGCCACAGCACCGGGCAUCCACAAGGGGUCAAGGAAAGACGUCGGGCACCUCAACGAAUGACGCAGCGUGCACCAGUUACUGUGACCAUUCCACUAAUGUGGCCGACCGCAUCAUUUCUCGACCAUCCAUCCACCCACCCGCGCGCAAAAGAAGCGCCUGGACAAAUCCGCGUCGACGGCCCCUUUGCUUGGCACACUAUUGACGAGGUGUGUGCGCGCCUCAUACACUCUCCACCCCCGUAUUCAUAUACGCAAUACAUACUGCCUCUGCCUCCACCAUCACUAUCUGACUUCUUCUACGGCACGGCGCGCCGUUUGGCUCGCGUGCUCGUUGUCGUGCUCGUGUUUACCCCCUUCCCGCCGCCCCGGUGUGCGACAUAUCUGCGCUCUAUGUACGUGUGUUCAUCCACCAAG
RNAcentral lists this unclassified non-coding RNA (13975 nucleotides) under Leishmania donovani. Its description in RNAcentral is "gene:LdHU3.32.5250(CDS-product:SPRY_domain/HECT-d omain_(ubiquitin-transferase)_putative)". The record is from RNAcentral. Lineage: Eukaryota; Euglenozoa; Kinetoplastea; Trypanosomatida; Trypanosomatidae.